GAUGAACGCUGGCGGCGUGCCUAAUACAUGCAAGUCGAGCGAACAGACGAGGAGCUUGCUCCUCUGACGUUAGCGGCGGACGGGUGAGUAACACGUGGAUAACCUACCUAUAAGACUGGGAUAACUUCGGGAAACCGGAGCUAAUACCGGAUAAUAUAUUGAACCGCAUGGUUCAAUAGUGAAAGACGGUUUUGCUGUCACUUAUAGAUGGAUCCGCGCCGCAUUAGCUAGUUGGUAAGGUAACGGCUUACCAAGGCAACGAUGCGUAGCCGACCUGAGAGGGUGAUCGGCCACACUGGAACUGAGACACGGUCCAGACUCUUACGGGAGGCAGCAGUAGGGAAUCUUCCGCAAAGGGCGAAAGCCUGACGGAGCAACGCCGCGUGAGUGAUGAAGGUCUUCGGAUCGUAAAACUCUGUUAUUAGGGAAGAACAAAUGUGUAAGUAACUAUGCACGUCUUGACGGUACCUAAUCAGAAAGCCACGGCUAACUACGUG
Molecule: ribosomal RNA, 497 nt
Filed under: uncultured bacterium
Lineage: Bacteria
Description: partial 16S ribosomal RNA
Rfam family: Bacterial small subunit ribosomal RNA
Source: RNAcentral